Molecule: ribosomal RNA, 749 nt
Filed under: uncultured bacterium
Lineage: Bacteria
Description: bacterial SSU rRNA
Rfam family: Bacterial small subunit ribosomal RNA
Source: RNAcentral
GGCCGCGGGAAUUCCAUUCAGGCCUAACACAUGCAAGUCGAGCGGAUGAAAGUACCUUGCUACUGGAUUCAGCGGCGGACGGGUGAGUAAUGCUUAGGAAUCUGCCUAUUAGUGGGGGACAACAUCUCGAAAGGGAUGCUAAUACCGCAUACGUCCUACGGGAGAAAGCAGGGGAUCUUCGGACCUUGCGCUAAUAGAUGAGCCUAAGUCGGAUUAGCUAGUUGGUGGGGUAAAGGCCUACCAAGGCGACGAUCUGUAGCGGGUCUGAGAGGAUGAUCCGCCACACUGGGACUGAGACACGGCCCAGACUCCUACGGGAGGCAGCAGUGGGGAAUAUUGGACAAUGGGGGGAACCCUGAUCCAGCCAUGCCGCGUGUGUGAAGAAGGCCUUUUGGUUGUAAAGCACUUUAAGCGAGGAGGAGGAGCUCUUGGUUAAUACCCAAGAUGCUUGGACGUUACUCGCAGAAUAAGCACCGGCUAACUCUGUGCCAGCAGCCGCGGUAAUACAGAGGGUGCAAGCGUUAAUCGGAUUUACUGGGCGUAAAGCGCGCGUAGGUGGCCAAUUAAGUCAAAUGUGAAAUCCCCGAGCUUAACUUGGGAAUUGCAUUCGAUACUGGUUGGCUAGAGUAUGGGAGAGGAUGGUAGAAUUCCAGGUGUAGCGGUGAAAUGCGUAGAGAUCUGGAGGAAUACCGAUGGCGAAGGCAGCCAUCUGGCCUAAUACUGACACUGAGGUGCGAAAGCAUGGGGAG